GGGUCCGUGGCUUAGGUUGGUUAGAGCGUCCGGCUGAUAACCGGGAGGUCUCGAGUUCAAAUCUCGACGGACCCA
Molecule: non-coding RNA, 75 nt
Organism: Thermoplasmatales archaeon
Lineage: Archaea; Methanobacteriati; Thermoplasmatota; Thermoplasmata; Thermoplasmatales
Source: Rfam